GUUCUCGUGGCCUAGUGGUUAUGGCAUCUGUCUUACAAGGCGUGCCCGAUCAGUGGACCCCCAGUUCUCGCCUCUUAGAUUACAUAUGUAACAGACGCUCCCUGGCUAAAGUCCUCUGAGUAGACGGUAGACUCCUCGUCGAUCACAGAAGAUCCCCGGUUCGAACCCGGGCGGGAACA
Molecule: transfer RNA, 179 nt
Filed under: Xylariales sp. No.14919
Lineage: Eukaryota; Fungi; Ascomycota; Sordariomycetes; Xylariales
Description: fungal sp. No.14919 tRNA
Rfam family: tRNA
About the family: Transfer RNA (tRNA) molecules are approximately 80 nucleotides in length. Their secondary structure includes four short double-helical elements and three loops (D, anti-codon, and T loops).
Source: Rfam by way of RNAcentral